This 90-nucleotide ribosomal RNA is filed under the name Shewanella sp. 4t3-1-2LB. RNAcentral's name for it is "partial 16S ribosomal RNA". It matches the Rfam family "Bacterial small subunit ribosomal RNA", at positions 1444 to 1533 of the family's 1533-position model. Lineage: Bacteria; Pseudomonadati; Pseudomonadota; Gammaproteobacteria; Alteromonadales; Shewanellaceae. The record is from RNAcentral.
GGGGGGGCGGUUACCACUUUGUGGAUCAUGACUGGGGUGAAGUCGUAACAAGGUAGCCCUAGGGGAACCUGGGGCUGGAUCACCUCCUUA